ACGAAUAAAAUUUAUCUUGUCUGUUAACCUACGUACACAGUAAUGUUUACAUACAUAUACUAGCAGCUAGGCUUUUAGAUCAAGUAAACUAAUAAUCAUUAGUUUUCGUCAUUGCUUUGAUGAAUUUUCUUGUUUUGUUUUACAUUUUGUAAGUAUAUUGUCAUUGAUAAGAAUAGUUGUAUUAAUAUCAAUUGGAAUAAUGAAGAAAAGAAAGCAAUAAUCAGUUUUCCAAACGAAAUACGAUUUUUAUUAAAUUAUCAGUGAUAUAGGGCUAUGCGGUUGAAAUUUAAACGCUCCGUAUUGACUUCCACUACGGCCGACCAGUGGCUCGCAGCCGAUGUUCGUAUCGCGAAGAAAAUUAUGAGAAAACUAGUGUGAACUGAAGUUUUAAUAAUUUUCAAGUGUAGGUCUCGUUGAAAACAAAUUAUUUGUGUACUUUACCAAAAAUAAUGCACAAUUGGAAAGCGAGAAGAGAGAAGACAAGGCUGUAGCCUCCUGCACUAUGGACGGGUAGCGGGGAUAAAUAAAUUUCGACCGGCCAGCUCUAUGUUAUCAGUGUUAUCACCAGAGGGCGGCGACCUUGGAGUUAAGAACUGUGCGGACCACCACAUGUAUGCACAUGACCAGCACGGCACGGUCUCGAUCAAUUCGUCGGCCGACUACACUGCAUUUGGAUUGCAGUCUUAUCGCUUGUUUUUCAGGUGCAAUACGCACCUGUACAUAGGCGUCGAGUACUCCUUGCACAUCAAGCGCUUGGAAGUGGCGCAAUCGCGCAGUAUUCAUUUGUAAAAUAGCAAAUUUGUAACCAAAAUGUGUUUAACAUUUUAGUUUCUUAUAUAUAUUUGUGUGGAGGUUUUUCAGUAUACUUUUCAUUUUUA
Molecule: long non-coding RNA, 878 nt
Organism: Zophobas morio
Lineage: Eukaryota; Metazoa; Arthropoda; Insecta; Coleoptera; Tenebrionidae
Exons: 2
Source: RefSeq, a predicted model, not a curated record